AAGUUAAGAUAAAUAGGAGUCCUUUACUCACUCGUUGUCCUCCCACCUAGCUAACACUACCAGUUAUCUUUAGGAUCUUGGAAUCACCACUACCCUUUCAAUCAUUUAUUCGUCACCCCUAUUCACUAGUUAAAUACUAAAUCUUAGUAGACACAAGGAUCUCAUUCCCCUUUUGUUAAACACUCUUAGUCGCUCGGAAUACUCCUAGGUGAAGUGCUACAGCGGUAUAUUCUGUGCGCUUGCGGAAUCAUCCAAUAGUUAAUAGAGUUACCCCUAACGACACUUCUAGCGCCGUUGCCGAUUUCCGGUGGUUGCGUUAAGAAGUGUCAACAACGACCUCCAUGCCACCC
This 350-nucleotide long non-coding RNA is filed under the name Sorghum bicolor (sorghum). RNAcentral's name for it is "long non-coding RNA (SBIC_LNC009690)". The record is from RNAcentral. Lineage: Eukaryota; Viridiplantae; Streptophyta; Magnoliopsida; Poales; Poaceae.